RNAcentral lists this ribosomal RNA (497 nucleotides) under uncultured bacterium. RNAcentral's name for it is "partial 16S ribosomal RNA". It matches the Rfam family "Bacterial small subunit ribosomal RNA", at positions 28 to 507 of the family's 1533-position model. The record is from RNAcentral.
GAUGAACGCUGGCGGCGUGCCUAAUACAUGCAAGUCGAGCGAACAGACGAGGAGCUUGCUCCUCUGACGUUAGCGGCGGACGGGUGAGUAACACGUGGAUAACCUACCUAUAAGACUGGGAUAACUUCGGGAAACCGGAGCUAAUACCGGAUAAUAUAUUGAACCGCAUGGUUCAAUAGUGAAAGACGGUGUUGCUGUCACUUAUAGAUGGAUCCGCGCCGCAUUAGCUAGUUGGUAAGGUAACGGCUUACCAAGGCGACGAUGCGUAGCCGACCUGAGAGGGUGAUCGGCCACACGGGAACUGAAACACGGUCCAGACUCCUACGGGAGGCAGCAGUAGGGAAUCUUCCGCAAUGGGCGAAAGCCUGACGGAGCAACGCCGCGUGAGUGAUGAAGGUCUUCGGAUCGUAAAAAUCUGUUAUUAGGGAAGAACAAAUGUGUAAGUAACUAUGCACGUCUUGACGGUACCUAAUCAGAAAGCCACGGCUAACUACGUG